GCAGGGAUGGCAGAACCUGGUUAUCGCGCACGCCUGGAAAGCGUGUGGGAGCAAUCCCUUGAGGGUUCAAAUCCCUCUCCCUGCG
Molecule: transfer RNA, 85 nt
Filed under: Microcaldota archaeon
Lineage: Archaea; Nanobdellati; Microcaldota
Description: tRNA-Ser
Rfam family: tRNA
About the family: Transfer RNA (tRNA) molecules are approximately 80 nucleotides in length. Their secondary structure includes four short double-helical elements and three loops (D, anti-codon, and T loops). Further hydrogen bonds mediate the characteristic L-shaped molecular structure. tRNAs have two regions of fundamental functional importance: the anti-codon, which is responsible for specific mRNA codon recognition, and the 3' end, to which the tRNAs corresponding amino acid is attached (by aminoacyl-tRNA synthetases). tRNAs cope with the degeneracy of the genetic code in two manners: having more than one tRNA (with a specific anti-codon) for a particular amino acid; and 'wobble' base-pairing, i.e. permitting non-standard base-pairing at the 3rd anti-codon position.
Source: RNAcentral